GAUGAAGAACGCAGUGAAAUGCGAUAAGUAAUGUGAAUUGCAGAAUCUCGUGAAUCAUCGAAUCUUUGAACGCACAUUGCGCCCUAUGGUAUUCCGUAGGGCAUGCCUGUCUGAGCGUCAACUCCCACCCUCUCAAGUCUUCUUUUUUGUUAAGGAGAUUUGGAUUACUUUGAGGAAGUAUCGUUUUUUUUUUUAAAAUGCUACUCCUCAGAAAUUCAUAGGCAGUAUGGUCAAACCUGAACCAGGCGUAAUAAUUCUAUAAAAAUCGUCUAUGAAGGAAUGUCUGUAUUAGCCUUUAACCCCCCCUAAUUUAUUUUACUUGGGUGACCUCAGAUCAGGUAGGGAUACCCGCUGAACUUAAGCAUAUCAAUAAGCGGAGGA
Molecule: unclassified non-coding RNA, 381 nt
Filed under: soil metagenome
Description: partial contains 5.8S ribosomal RNA, internal transcribed spacer 2, and large subunit ribosomal RNA
Rfam family: 5.8S ribosomal RNA (bases 1-120)
Source: RNAcentral